RNAcentral lists this ribosomal RNA (282 nucleotides) under uncultured bacterium. RNAcentral describes it as "partial 16S ribosomal RNA". It matches the Rfam family "Bacterial small subunit ribosomal RNA", at positions 524 to 808 of the family's 1533-position model. The record is from RNAcentral.
UACGGAGGAUCCAAGCGUUAUCCGGAUUCAUUGGGUUUAAAGGGUGCGUAGGCGGAAUGAUAAGUCAGUGGUGAAAUCCUGCAGCUUAACUGCAGAACUGCCAUUGAUACUGUCAAUCUUGAGUAUAUUUGAUGUGGGCGGAAUGUGUCAUGUAGCGGUGAAAUGCUUAGAUAUGACACAGAACACCGAUUGCGAAGGCAGCUCACAAAACUAUAACUGACGCUGAGGCACGAAAGCGUGGUAGUCAAACAGGAAUUAGAUACCGAGUAGCUCAGACUAACG